Hibiscus syriacus is the source of this 187-nucleotide long non-coding RNA. RefSeq lists it as uncharacterized. The transcript has 3 exons. NCBI's taxonomy places the organism in Eukaryota, Viridiplantae, Streptophyta, Magnoliopsida, Malvales, Malvaceae. The record is from RefSeq and is a predicted model, not a curated record.
AGCAACUAGCUGAAAAAACUCGGACCGGGAAAAUUUUACCAAACGAAUUUCAAGGAGGAACAUUCAGCAUUUCAAAUCUGGGAAUGUUUCCUGUUGACCAUUUUUGUGCAAUUAUAAAUCCCCCACAGGCCGGUAUCCUUGCUGUUGGUAGAGGAAACGAAUUUGUCGAACCGGUGACAGGAAGUGA